Molecule: ribosomal RNA, 2928 nt
Filed under: Klebsiella michiganensis
Lineage: Bacteria; Pseudomonadati; Pseudomonadota; Gammaproteobacteria; Enterobacterales; Enterobacteriaceae
Description: 23S ribosomal RNA
Rfam family: Bacterial large subunit ribosomal RNA
Source: RNAcentral
GGGUUGUGAGGUUAAGCGACUAAGCGUACACGGUGGAUGCCCUGGCAGUCAGAGGCGAUGAAGGACGUGCUAAUCUGCGAAAAGCGUCGGUAAGGUGAUAUGAACCGUUAUAGCCGGCGAUGUCCGAAUGGGGAAACCCAGUGCAAUUCGUUGCACUAUCGUUAACUGAAUACAUAGGUUAACGAGGCGAACCGGGGGAACUGAAACAUCUAAGUACCCCGAGGAAAAGAAAUCAACCGAGAUUCCCCCAGUAGCGGCGAGCGAACGGGGAGCAGCCCGGAGUCUGAAUCAGCUUGUGUGUUAGUGGAAGCGUCUGGAAAGUCGCAGGGUACAGGGUGAUACUCCCGUACACUAAAACACACAGGUUGUGAACUCGAAGAGUAGGGCGGGACACGUGGUAUCCUGUCUGAAUAUGGGGGGACCAUCCUCCAAGGCUAAAUACUCCUGACUGACCGAUAGUGAACCAGUACCGUGAGGGAAAGGCGAAAAGAACCCCGGCGAGGGGAGUGAAAAAGAACCUGAAACCGUGUACGUACAAGCAGUAGGAGCCCACUAGUUGGGUGACUGCGUACCUUUUGUAUAAUGGGUCAGCGACUUAUAUUCUGUAGCAAGGUUAACCGUAUAGGGGAGCCGCAGGGAAACCGAGUCUUAACUGGGCGUUAAGUUGCAGGGUAUAGACCCGAAACCCGGUGAUCUAGCCAUGGGCAGGUUGAAGGUUGGGUAACACUAACUGGAGGACCGAACCGACUAAUGUUGAAAAAUUAGCGGAUGACUUGUGGCUGGGGGUGAAAGGCCAAUCAAACCGGGAGAUAGCUGGUUCUCCCCGAAAGCUAUUUAGGUAGCGCCUCGUGAACUCAUCUUCGGGGGUAGAGCACUGUUUCGGCUAGGGGGUCAUCCCGACUUACCAACCCGAUGCAAACUACGAAUACCGAAGAAUGUUAUCACGGGAGACACACGGCGGGUGCUAACGUCCGUCGUGAAGAGGGAAACAACCCAGACCGCCAGCUAAGGUCCCAAAGUCAUGGUUAAGUGGGAAACGAUGUGGGAAGGCCCAGACAGCCAGGAUGUUGGCUUAGAAGCAGCCAUCAUUUAAAGAAAGCGUAAUAGCUCACUGGUCGAGUCGGCCUGCGCGGAAGAUGUAACGGGGCUAAACCAUGCACCGAAGCUGCGGCAGCGACGCUUAUGCGUUGUUGGGUAGGGGAGCGUUCUGUAAGCCGUUGAAGGUGGCCUGUGAGGGUUGCUGGAGGUAUCAGAAGUGCGAAUGCUGACAUAAGUAACGAUAAUGCGGGUGAAAAACCCGCACGCCGGAAGACCAAGGGUUCCUGUCCAACGUUAAUCGGGGCAGGGUGAGUCGACCCCUAAGGCGAGGCCGAAAGGCGUAGUCGAUGGGAAACAGGUUAAUAUUCCUGUACUCGGUGUUACUGCGAAGGGGGGACGGAGAAGGCUAUGUUGGCCGGGCGACGGUUGUCCCGGUUUAAGCAUGUAGGCGGAUGUUCCAGGUAAAUCCGGAACGUCACUAACGCUGAGGUGUGAUGACGAGGCACUACGGUGCUGAAGUGACAAAUGCCCUGCUUCCAGGAAAAGCCUCUAAGCAUCAGGUAACAUCAAAUCGUACCCCAAACCGACACAGGUGGUCAGGUAGAGAAUACCAAGGCGCUUGAGAGAACUCGGGUGAAGGAACUAGGCAAAAUGGUGCCGUAACUUCGGGAGAAGGCACGCUGAUGGUAGGUGAAGUGACUUGCUCAUGGAGCUGAAAUCAGUCGAAGAUACCAGCUGGCUGCAACUGUUUAUUAAAAACACAGCACUGUGCAAACACGAAAGUGGACGUAUACGGUGUGACGCCUGCCCGGUGCCGGAAGGUUAAUUGAUGGGGUUAUCCGUAAGGAGAAGCUCUUGAUCGAAGCCCCGGUAAACGGCGGCCGUAACUAUAACGGUCCUAAGGUAGCGAAAUUCCUUGUCGGGUAAGUUCCGACCUGCACGAAUGGCGUAAUGAUGGCCAGGCUGUCUCCACCCGAGACUCAGUGAAAUUGAACUCGCUGUGAAGAUGCAGUGUACCCGCGGCAAGACGGAAAGACCCCGUGAACCUUUACUAUAGCUUGACACUGAACACUGGUCCUUGAUGUGUAGGAUAGGUGGGAGGCUUUGAAGUGUGGACGCCAGUCUGCAUGGAGCCAUCCUUGAAAUACCACCCUUUAAUGGCUGGUGUUCUAACGUGGGCCCCUAAUCGGGGUUGCGGACAGUGUCUGGUGGGUAGUUUGACUGGGGCGGUCUCCUCCUAAAGAGUAACGGAGGAGCACGAAGGUCAGCUAAUCCUGGUCGGACAUCAGGAGGUUAGUGCAAUGGCAUAAGCUGGCUUGACUGCGAGCGUGACGGCGCGAGCAGGUGCGAAAGCAGGUCAUAGUGAUCCGGUGGUUCUGAAUGGAAGGGCCAUCGCUCAACGGAUAAAAGGUACUCCGGGGAUAACAGGCUGAUACCGCCCAAGAGUUCAUAUCGACGGCGGUGUUUGGCACCUCGAUGUCGGCUCAUCACAUCCUGGGGCUGAAGUAGGUCCCAAGGGUAUGGCUGUUCGCCAUUUAAAGUGGUACGCGAGCUGGGUUUAGAACGUCGUGAGACAGUUCGGUCCCUAUCUGCCGUGGGCGCUGGAGAAUUGAGGGGGGCUGCUCCUAGUACGAGAGGACCGGAGUGGACGCAUCACUGGUGUUCGGGUUGUCAUGCCAAUGGCAUUGCCCGGUAGCUAAAUGCGGAAGAGAUAAGUGCUGAAAGCAUCUAAGCACGAAACUUGCCCCGAGAUGAGUUCUCCCUGACUCCCUGAGAGUCCUGAAGGAACGUUGAAGACGACGACGUUGAUAGGCCGGGUGUGUAAGCGCAGCGAUGCGUUGAGCUAACCGGUACUAAUGAACCGUGAGGCUUAACCUUACAACGCCGAAG